Molecule: long non-coding RNA, 505 nt
Filed under: Fukomys damarensis (Damara mole-rat)
Lineage: Eukaryota; Metazoa; Chordata; Mammalia; Rodentia; Bathyergidae
Description: lncRNA (ENSFDAG00000029403.1)
Source: RNAcentral
UUGCACAUGAUGCCACGUUGCAAAAUACAAUGGUUACAUUCAGCUGUCCUCUCCCAUGGAGUUUCUGCUACACUUUUGCUGCAAUGGAGCAGUCACCAGUCACUACAUGCAAAUAUUUCCAGGAGUGAGGAGCUCAGGGUAAAGAGGACAUCAGAGAAACCACAGCUGUGCCUCUUGAAAGAGCAGUUUCAGGUUCGGAGCAAACUGGGGGAAUCACAGAGCCCAGCCUUCUCCUCCUGCCCCACACACUGACCCCAUCGGCCCUCGUCAACCUGCUCUUCUCGCCGGAGCCUUGCUUGACAGCUGCUGCCACUUCAUCCCUGCACUGUCCUCGCCACGGGUGCCUCACACCAGCACGCCCCUCUUCUAACAUGUGCCUGGGACAGAGGCCCAGGGGCUGUGUCCAGCGCGACACCAUCACACAGAGUGGUUCCGUGGCCUCGGUGCCCUCCGCGCUCCAGUGACGUCCUUGUCAGUGCCAGCCCUUGAUCUUCCAUUAUCCCCG